UGAAUUAGAGGGCAAAGCUGUUGUGAAACAGUGACGCAAAGCUAAAGGGACUUUUAUAAGUUAGCCAGUUACUCGA
Molecule: non-coding RNA, 76 nt
Filed under: Acetobacterium woodii
Lineage: Bacteria; Bacillati; Bacillota; Clostridia; Eubacteriales; Eubacteriaceae
Also listed under: 1 other name
Description: c-di-GMP sequence
Rfam family: c-di-GMP-I riboswitch aptamer
About the family: GEMM was predicted in a large-scale screen for bacterial structured RNA regulatory elements. Genes associated with GEMM are involved in a diverse array of functions, including chemotaxis regulation, signal transduction, secretion and chitin.
Source: RNAcentral